RNAcentral lists this ribosomal RNA (770 nucleotides) under uncultured bacterium. Its description in RNAcentral is "bacterial SSU rRNA". It matches the Rfam family "Bacterial small subunit ribosomal RNA", at positions 8 to 796 of the family's 1533-position model. The record is from RNAcentral.
AGAGUUUGAUCAUGGCUCAGGACGAACGCUGGCGGCGUACUUAACACAUGCAAGUCGAACGGAAAGGCCCUUCGGGUACUCGAGUGGCGAACGGGUGAGUAACACGUGGGUGAUCUGCCCUGCACUUUGGGAUAAGCCUGGGAAACUGGGUCUAAUACCGAAUAUGACCAUGCACUUCCUGGUGUGUGGUGGAAAGCUUUUGCGGUGUGGGAUGGGCCCGCGGCCUAUCAGCUUGUUGGUGGGGUAAUGGCCUACCAAGGCGACGACGGGUAGCCGGCCUGAGAGGGUGACCGGCCACACUGGGACUGAGAUACGGCCCAGACUCCUACGGGAGGCAGCAGUGGGGAAUAUUGCACAAUGGGCGCAAGCCUGAUGCAGCGACGCCGCGUGAGGGAUGACGGCCUUCGGGUUGUAAACCUCUUUCAGCACAGACGAAGCGCAAGUGACGGUAUGUGCAGAAGAAGGACCGGCCAACUACGUGCCAGCAGCCGCGGUAAUACGUAGGGUCCGAGCGUUGUCCGGAAUUACUGGGCGUAAAGAGCUCGUAGGUGGUUUGUCGCGUUGUUCGUGAAAACUCACAGCUUAACUGUGGGCGUGCGGGCGAUACGGGCAGACUUGAGUACUGCAGGGGAGACUGGAAUUCCUGGUGUAGCGGUGGAAUGCGCAGAUAUCAGGAGGAACACCGGUGGCGAAGGCGGGUCUCUGGGCAGUAACUGACGCUGAGGAGCGAAAGCGUGGGGAGCGAACAGGAUUAGAUACCCUGGUAGUCC